Molecule: non-coding RNA, 23 nt
Filed under: Cricetulus griseus (Chinese hamster)
Lineage: Eukaryota; Metazoa; Chordata; Mammalia; Rodentia; Cricetidae
Source: RNAcentral
CCCAGCUAGUAGGAGCUCACAGU